RNAcentral lists this small RNA (618 nucleotides) under uncultured Tomentella. Its description in RNAcentral is "eukaryotic LSU rRNA". The stretch from base 205 to 359 matches the Rfam family "5.8S ribosomal RNA". Lineage: Eukaryota; Fungi; Basidiomycota; Agaricomycetes; Thelephorales; Thelephoraceae. The record is from RNAcentral.
UUACCGAAUUGUCAACAAGAGUUGUUGCUGGUCCCUGUACGGGGGCAUGUGCACACUUUGUUUACACAUCCACUCACACCUGUGCACCCUCCGUAGUUCUAUGGCCUGGGUGGGCUCUGUCCUCCUGGCGUGGUUCUACGUCUUUACACACACACUACAAAAAAGUCUUAUGGAAUGUAUGUCGCGUUUAACGCAAUGAAAUACAACUUUCAGCAACGGAUCUCUUGGCUCUCGCAUCGAUGAAGAACGCAGCGAAAUGCGAUAAGUAAUGUGAAUUGCAGAAUUCAGUGAAUCAUCGAAUCUUUGAACGCACCUUGCGCCCUUUGGCUAUUCCGAAGGGCAUGCCUGUUUGAGUAUCAUGAACACCUCAACUCUCAUGGCUUGCCAUGAUGAGCUUGGACUUUGGGGGUCUUGUUGGCCUGUGAGCCAGCUCCUCUUAAAUGAAUUAGCUUGCCGGUGUUUGGUGGCGUCACGGGUGUGAUAACUAUCUACGCUUGUGGUUUCCCACCAGGUAACCUUCAGCAAUGGAGGUUCACCGGAGCUUAUAAAUGUCUCUCCUCGGUGAGGACACAUUUUGACCAUUUGAUCUCAAAUCAGGUAGGACUACCCGCUGAACUU